Molecule: ribosomal RNA, 583 nt
Filed under: uncultured bacterium
Lineage: Bacteria
Description: partial 16S ribosomal RNA
Rfam family: Bacterial small subunit ribosomal RNA
Source: RNAcentral
UGGGGAAUUUUGGACAAUGGGCGAAAGCCUGAUCCAGCAAUGCCGCGUGUGUGAAGAAGGCCUUCGGGUUGUAAAGCACUUUUGUCCGGAAAGAAAUCCUUGGCUCUAAUACAGUCGGGGGAUGACGGUACCGGAAGAAUGAGCACCGGCUAACUACGUGCCAGCAGCCGCGGUAAUACGUAGGGUGCAAGCGUUAAUCGGAAUUACUGGGCGUAAAGCGUGCGCAGGCGGUUUGCUAAGACCGAUGUGAAAUCCCCGGGCUCAACCUGGGAACUGCAUUGGUGACUGGCAGGCUAGAGUAUGGCAGAGGGGGGUAGAAUUCCACGUGUAGCAGUGAAAUGCGUAGAGAUGUGGAGGAAUACCGAUGGCGAAGGCAGCCCCCUGGGCCAAUACUGACGCUCAUGCACGAAAGCGUGGGGAGCAAACAGGAUUAGAUACCCUGGUAGUCCACGCCCUAAACGAUGUCAACUAGUUGUUGGGGAUUCAUUUCCUUAGUAACGUAGCUAACGCGUGAAGUUGACCGCCUGGGGAGUACGGUCGCAAGAUUAAAACUCAAUGAAUUGACGGGGUCAUAGCUGUUUCC